GACGAACGCUGGCGGCGUGCUUAACACAUGCAAGUCGAGCGGAAAGGCCCUUCGGGGUACUCGAGCGGCGAACGGGUGAGUAACACGUGAGUAACCUGCCCUGGACUUUGGGAUAACCCUCGGAAACGGGGGCGUAAUACGAUAUGACUUCCCUCCGCAUGGGGGGUGGGGUGGGUAAAGGUUUUUACGGUUCGUUGGGAGUGGGCGUCGCGGCCGUACUC
RNAcentral lists this ribosomal RNA (221 nucleotides) under uncultured bacterium. Its description in RNAcentral is "partial 16S ribosomal RNA". It matches the Rfam family "Bacterial small subunit ribosomal RNA", at positions 28 to 244 of the family's 1533-position model. The record is from RNAcentral.